Molecule: long non-coding RNA, 1324 nt
Filed under: Vigna radiata
Lineage: Eukaryota; Viridiplantae; Streptophyta; Magnoliopsida; Fabales; Fabaceae
Description: long non-coding RNA (VRAD_LNC010730)
Source: RNAcentral
UUCUCAUUUGUUGUACGUGUUUAAUUAGAUUUUUAUUUUGAUAAAUUUUAUUUAAUUUAAUUCUUUUUCAUGACAGCUUUUACAUUAUUAAUGAAAGAGUGUACAUUGUGAUACUGUUUACAUGACGAGUGUUGUUUUUGCUUACAUGAUUUGUUAGUAGAAGAGAAGCUUGAGACCCUCGUAAAUGUAGCCAUAGCCAGCUGACACUUUAUAAUGUUUUCUCUUUCUUCCUUCUCUUUUACGAAAGUUCAAUCUUCUAAAUCUAUAGUUGUAAACGAAAUAAGCUUUGGUGGUUGACGUUGCUAGUAUGCAGGCUGAGCUUUUUAGUCGAGCUUCUCCUUUGCUGAUUGAACUUUCAAACUUCUCUUAUAUUAGCCAAGCUUCUCAAUCGAACUUUUCCUUUAUUAAUAAGUCACAUAAGCAAAACAUAGCACACACGUCAAGCAAAUAGUUUUACGCUAUUCUGUUAACAAUUUAAAUUAUUCUGUUAAUAAUUUAAAUGACAUCAUAAAAAAUGAAUAAAAUUUAUCAAAAAAAACAAAAAUUAGGACCAAAAUGGAUUUUAAGUGUUAUUUCAUAGAGUAGUGUCAGUAAUAUUUUUAUUAUUAAUAUUUAUUGAAAAAAUUCUUAACAUUUUAGUAAUACUACUUCAUAAUUAUUAUUUUUUUCAACUAAAAAUUAAAUCAAGUUGUUUGAAUUCAAAAUUCAUAAUUAUUUCUUUGAUAUGGAAUCGAAGAUAUAAAUAUUUACCUAGUUAGUAUUUUAAAGUAGUUCUGAAUGAUACAACAUGAAUUAGAAAUGCAAAAUGAAUUAGAAUUUAUAAUCCGAAAUAAAAUCAAAUGUUUAUUUCAUUUGAGUUAACAUAUAUAUACAAUUAAGCAUCUAUUAGUAACCUUAGCCCACAUAAGAACUGAUAAAUCCUUAAAUAGACUAACAUCAUUAACAGCAACACUCAACAUAAUAACACAACAAAUAAAGGUAGGCUAAGGACUUACUUUACUUAGCCUUACGAACCAUUUGUUCUGUGAUCUUAGCCAAGGACCUAAGAUUGCAAGCUAUGAUGGUAUUCGCAAAGCAGCACGUGUCUUCCUCACUACUUCCUGCCGGAACAUCCACCACGUACGACUCAAUCGCCACCGUCCUCCCCCCAUAUUUCUCUUCUUCUUCAUGCAAAGUAAUCGUGGAACUGUAAUUCACAAGCCUGUGAUCACCGCCAAUGAUGCUAAACUUUAAAACAUGUUUCUCAUCAUCAAGCUUGUCUAACCUCUCCACACUAACACCAGCCGGUAACCCGGAUGUGACCAUCACCUCACGUACACUUCCA